This 72-nucleotide transfer RNA is filed under the name Chelonia mydas (Green sea turtle). It matches the Rfam family "tRNA". From Rfam's summary of the family: Transfer RNA (tRNA) molecules are approximately 80 nucleotides in length. Their secondary structure includes four short double-helical elements and three loops (D, anti-codon, and T loops). Lineage: Eukaryota; Metazoa; Chordata; Testudines; Cheloniidae. The record is from Rfam by way of RNAcentral.
GGCAGAGUGGCCUAGUGGCUAGCGCACUGACCUGAGACUCAGAAGACCUGGGCUCUAUUCCGAGCUCUGCCA